This 497-nucleotide ribosomal RNA is filed under the name uncultured bacterium. Its description in RNAcentral is "partial 16S ribosomal RNA". It matches the Rfam family "Bacterial small subunit ribosomal RNA", at positions 28 to 507 of the family's 1533-position model. The record is from RNAcentral.
GAUGAACGCUGGCGGCGUGCCUAAUACAUGCAAGUCGAGCGAACGGACGAGAAGCUUGCUUCUCUGAUGUUAGCGGCGGACGGGUGAGUAACACGUGGAUAACCUACCUAUAAGACUGGGAUAACUUCGGGAAACCGGAGCUAAUGCCGGAUGAUAUUUUGAACCGCAUGGUUCAAAAGUGAAAGACGGUCUUGCUGUCACUUAUAGAUGGAUCCGCGCUGCAUUAGCUAGUUGGUAAGGUAACGGCUUACCAAGGCAACGAUGCAUAGCCGACCUGAGAGGGUGAUCGGCCACACUGGAACUGAGACACGGUCCAGACUCCUACGGGAGGCAGCAGUAGGGAAUCUUCCGCAAUGGGCGAAAGCCUGACGGAGCAACGCCGCGUGAGUGAUGAAGGUCCUCGGAUCGUAAAACUCUGUUAUUAGGGAAGAACAUAUGUGUAAGUAACUGUGCACAUCUUGACGGUACCUAAUCAGAAAGCCACGGCUAACUACGUG